This 409-nucleotide ribosomal RNA is filed under the name bacterium. RNAcentral's name for it is "partial 16S ribosomal RNA". It matches the Rfam family "Bacterial small subunit ribosomal RNA", at positions 355 to 776 of the family's 1533-position model. The record is from RNAcentral.
UGGGGAAUAUUGCACAAUGGGCGAAAGCCUGAUGCAGCGACGCCGCGUGAGGGAUGACGGCCUUCGGGUUGUAAACCUCUUUCAGUAGGGACGAAGCGCAAGUGACGGUACCUGCAGAAGAAGCACCGGCUAACUACGUGCCAGCAGCCGCGGUAAUACGUAGGGUGCGAGCGUUGUCCGGAAUUACUGGGCGUAAAGAGCUCGUAGGCGGUUUGUCACGUCGUCUGUGAAAUCCUAGGGCUUAACCCUGGACGUGCAGGCGAUACGGGCUGACUUGAGUACUACAGGGGAGACUGGAAUUUCUGGUGUAGCGGUGGAAUGCACAGAUAUCAGGAAGAACACCGAUGGCGAAGGCAGGUCUCUGGGUAGUAACUGACGCUGAGGAGCGAAAGCAUGGAUAGCGAACAGG